Long non-coding RNA from Mesocricetus auratus (golden hamster), 422 nucleotides. RefSeq lists it as uncharacterized. The record is from RefSeq and is a predicted model, not a curated record. The transcript has 2 exons. NCBI's taxonomy places the organism in Eukaryota, Metazoa, Chordata, Mammalia, Rodentia, Cricetidae.
GAACAGAGGAUCGUAUUGUGCCCAGAAUCAGGGCAGGGUAGCCAAGGAAGACCAUUGGCUGGGAGACCUCAGAGAAGCGGCCGAUGGACCCACGGCUCUGUAAAUCUAAGAACAGACUCCCUGAGACCAUCUGGUGACAAUGCUGUCUGCGGGGCAGAAUCUGCUUGCCUCUCAAGCUUCCAGGUGCUGUGUGCUGUUGGUCCAAGGACAAUGCCACACAGCCGGGCGCCCUCCCUUACACUGACUCACUUCCUCUCAUCAUUUGGAGGCCGGCCUACUGCCUGCCUGCCAACUGCCCGGAGAGGAUGAGCCCCACCAGGGCCAGGGACCUCCUUAUCUCACGGGACAACACCGCCUCUUCCCGUGUGGCCUAUUUCCCCCAUUUCCUCCAACGCAUUUUUAUAAACCAUCCCUUUAUAGGU